AACGUAGGGGGCAAGCGUUGUCCGGAUUUAUUGGGCGUAAAGCGCUCGCAGGUGGUUCAUUGCGUCGUGCGUGAAAGACCCCGGCUCAACUGGGGAGGGUCGUGCGAAACGGGUGAACUAGAGGCCAGUAGGGGGAUGCGGAAUUCCGGGUGUAGUGGUGGAAUGCGUAGAGAUCCGGAGGAACACCAGCGGCGAAGGCGGCAUCCUGGACUGGUCCUGACACUCAGGAGCGAAAGCGUGGGGAGCGAUCCGG
RNAcentral lists this ribosomal RNA (253 nucleotides) under uncultured bacterium. RNAcentral describes it as "partial 16S ribosomal RNA". It matches the Rfam family "Bacterial small subunit ribosomal RNA", at positions 524 to 776 of the family's 1533-position model. The record is from RNAcentral.